GUUUGAAUCGUUUGAGUCAGUCAAAAGACGCCAUGUCUGUUUUCAUUUUUCUGUGCAGUUGUGCAAAAUAAUGUUAUUAUUAUUAAUGCAAAAUUUCCCGAAAUUUCGAAGCAGCGCCGAAAAUUAAGUGCCUAUGACCAUGACUUACAAGCGGGAGCGGCAGACGAUUUUCGCCCAAAAGUGUGCAGUCGUUUUGAAUUUGUAUGCAAAUUUUCCCGAAAUCCGGAAACAGCGUCGCACUUUAAGUGCCUAUUUGGAACUUGCCGUCAAAACUCACGAACUGCGGUUGAUUUCCGGAGAGUUUGCUGCCAUGUAAUUCCGGAAGCCAGGGAUCAUAGGCAAUUACGAGUUCGAAGGAUAACGAUUCAAUGGAUGUAAUACUGCUGCUGCCUCGGCUGCUGCAAUACGGCUUCGAAGCGCCUCCGAACGCGAAGCGAUUUCAGCCAGACAUGAGCUACCCUGGGUCUGCGGAUCGAUACUGGAUUCCUGAUGUUUUUCAAUAUACUCGCUUUAAUAUGUAUAGCCGUUGCAUCUGAUCAACCGGCGAUAGAUCUGCUGAUGCAGUAAAAAAAUAUAUAGUAUGUAUUUGUCUUGCA
Molecule: long non-coding RNA, 596 nt
Organism: Armigeres subalbatus
Lineage: Eukaryota; Metazoa; Arthropoda; Insecta; Diptera; Culicidae
Exons: 4
Source: RefSeq, a predicted model, not a curated record